RNAcentral lists this non-coding RNA (28 nucleotides) under Rattus norvegicus (Norway rat). The record is from RNAcentral. Lineage: Eukaryota; Metazoa; Chordata; Mammalia; Rodentia; Muridae.
UGAGACCAACGUACCUCAGAGAUGUCGC